RNAcentral lists this ribosomal RNA (360 nucleotides) under uncultured bacterium. RNAcentral describes it as "bacterial SSU rRNA". It matches the Rfam family "Bacterial small subunit ribosomal RNA", at positions 29 to 404 of the family's 1533-position model. The record is from RNAcentral.
AAUGAACGUUGGCGGCGUGGAUUAGGCAUGCAAGUCGCGCGAGAAAUUUCCUUCGGGAGAUGGACAGCGGCGAAAGGGAGAGGAAUACGUAGAAAUCUGCCCUCGAGCCUGGGAUAGCGGCGGGAAACUGCCGGUAAUACCAGAUAACGUCUUCGGACCAAAAGGUGUGAUUCCGCUUGAGGAUGAGUCUACGUCCUAUUAGCUAGUUGGUGGGGUAAUGGCCUACCAAGGCAACGAUGGUAGCGGGUGUGAGAGCACGAUCCGCCUCACUGGGACUGAGACACUGCCCAGACACCUACGGGUGCUGCAGUCGAGAAUCUUCGGCAAUGGGGGAAACCCUGACCGAGCGACGCCGCGUGC